AGUAACACGUGAGCAACCUGCCCUUGACUUCGGAAUACCAGCUGGAAACAGCUGCUAAUACCGGAUAUGACUCCGACCGUCCUCGGUCGGGGUGGAAAGCUCCGGCGGUCAGGGAUGGGCUCGCGGCCUAUCAGCUUGUUGGUGAGGUAAUGGCUCACCAAGGCUUCGACGGGUAGCCGGCCUGAGAGGGCGACCGGCCACACUGGGACUGAGAUACGGCCCAG
This 224-nucleotide ribosomal RNA is filed under the name uncultured bacterium. Its description in RNAcentral is "partial 16S ribosomal RNA". It matches the Rfam family "Bacterial small subunit ribosomal RNA", at positions 109 to 334 of the family's 1533-position model. The record is from RNAcentral.